CACGUAGGGGGCAAGCGUUGUCCGGAUUUAUUGGGCGUAAAGAGCUCGUAGGCGGCUUAGUAAGUCGGGUGUGAAACCUCCAGGCUCAACCUGGAGACGCCACCCGAUACUGCUGUGGCUAGAGUCCGGUAGGGGAGCGUGGAAUUCCUGGUGUAGCGGUGAAAUGCGCAGAUAUCAGGAGGAACACCAGCGGCGAAGGCGGCGCUCUGGGCCGGUACUGACGCUGAGGAGCGAAAGCCAGGGGAGCAAACGGG
This 254-nucleotide ribosomal RNA is filed under the name uncultured bacterium. RNAcentral describes it as "partial 16S ribosomal RNA". It matches the Rfam family "Bacterial small subunit ribosomal RNA", at positions 524 to 776 of the family's 1533-position model. The record is from RNAcentral.